Molecule: ribosomal RNA, 305 nt
Filed under: uncultured bacterium
Lineage: Bacteria
Description: partial 16S ribosomal RNA
Rfam family: Bacterial small subunit ribosomal RNA
Source: RNAcentral
ACAGCAGUCGCCACGGGAAUACGUAGGUGGCAAGCGUUGUCCGGAAUUAUUGGGCGUAAAGGGCUCGCAGGCGGUUUCUUAAGUCUGAUGUGAAAGCCCCCGGCCCAACCGGGGAGGGUCAUUGGAAACUGGGAAACUUGAGUGCAGAAGAGGAGAGUGGAAUUCCACGUGUAGCGGUGAAAUGCGUAGAGAUGUGGAGGAACACCAGUGGCGAAGGCGACUCUCUGGUCUGUAACUGACGCUGAGGAGCGAAAGCGUGGGGAGCGAACAGGAUUAGAUACCCGCGUAGUCCCUGUCUCUUAUAA